CGGCGGCUAACUACGUGCCAGCAGCCGCGGUAAUACGUAGGCAGCAAGCGUUGUUCGGAGUUACUGGGCGUAAAGGGUGUGUAGGCGGCCCUCUAAGUUUGGUGUGAAAUCUCCCGGCUUAACCGGGAGGGUGCGCCGAAGACUGGGGGGCUAGAGUAUGGGAUGGGAGAGUGGAAUUCCUGGUGUAGCGGUGAAAUGCGUAGAUAUCAGGAGGAACACCUGCGGUGUAGACGGCUCUCUGGACCAUAACUGACGCUGAGACACGAAAGCGUGGGUAGCAAACAGGAUUAGAUACCCUGGUAGUCCACGCCCUAAACGAUGCAUACUUGGUGUGGGCCAUUCAUUUGGUCCGUGCCGGAGCUAACGCGUUAAGUAUGCCGCCUGGGGAGUACAGUCGCAAGGCUGAAACUCAAAGGAAUUGACGG
This 425-nucleotide ribosomal RNA is filed under the name uncultured Acidobacteriota bacterium. Its description in RNAcentral is "bacterial SSU rRNA". It matches the Rfam family "Bacterial small subunit ribosomal RNA", at positions 491 to 916 of the family's 1533-position model. The record is from RNAcentral. Lineage: Bacteria; Pseudomonadati; Acidobacteriota.